This 2142-nucleotide long non-coding RNA is filed under the name Manduca sexta (tobacco hornworm). RNAcentral describes it as "uncharacterized LOC115451463". Lineage: Eukaryota; Metazoa; Arthropoda; Insecta; Lepidoptera; Sphingidae. The record is from RNAcentral.
AGCUUCAACACAAGGCAGGCGUUACAGGUAUACUAUUGCUGCCAUAAAUAUAGGUAUAAUAUAUAGUAUUAUACCGGAUAUGGAUAAAUAGGUAUAAAACAAGCGCAGGUCUUUCUGAUCGACGGAGUAUACUCUCACAUAAAGAUUAGGAAAAUGAUUCAGUAUACUAAUUGAAUAACAAUAUUAAAUGUCUCAAUAUUGUAUUGUGGUAUCUUAAAAUAUUUUUUAUGAUGUUGAAAUACGCGAAGCCUCGGUCCGGACGGACACCGCGCCGCGGGCGCACGUAUUUUCCCCCUAUCGGUCCCAGUGCGAUAAGACGACUCGCAUGUAUCAUUUGCGAAGAGCGUCAGUAAAUGGGUUUUUCUAUCAUGCUUAAUAUAAUAAUUAUGUAUAGGUCAAAACAAGAAACUCUAACUGCUUGCUCUUUUGUAACCUGAUUUGGUCGCGCUACAUUCCUCAGAUGGGUCAUGGGGUUGAAGUAAGCAAGCGGCCAGUCAUAAAAACUGUUGAAUAAAUGUUUUGCACCGACCACACAUAGAAGUGAGAAUCUAUGCUUGUAGUAGUGAUUUGUUCUGUUGUUCAUACAUUCUGAUGGCCCAAAUCCAAUCCCUACCUACUAGGUCUUUUUCUCGUCGUGUUUAUUUUUCAGAGAGUAAAGUCAAUAGGUAUAUGUCAUCGAUACAAACGACGGAAUCAAUAACCUAAUAUUAAGUGACCCCGAACCGCGGUAGCCCAAAAAAGGCCUAUAAUACUGUCCUUCAACCACAGGCAGAAAUGACUGAUGCCUUAAGUUGGACGGCAGAAAAGACGAGAAGAACGCGCGAGUUUGCAGGCGCGGCAUGUGCUUGCGUGAUUACUUGAGUUUGAUGGUUUGUGGUGGCAUCAAUAGCGCUGAUAUCACACGGCCGCAAUGAUUACCAUGCAUAAUGUAUGCAAAUGCAUGUAAAUCGGCAGAGACGAGCGCGGUGAAGCGUCGCGUGCCCGCGCGGUGAGGCGGGUGAUGCGGAGACUCGAGAGGUUAUCAUUACCCGACAGCGAGCCCGAGCGCCGCACACCUCACGACACAAUGCGUCACACACUGUCCUCGAGUGCGCUCCACAAGUACGCAGCCAUCCUGCUAUUGUUACAGUAAUCUCAGCAAACAACAUGUAAUGUGCCUACAACGAACAAAUAGAAGGACGUUCUCAGGACUCCUUCAGACUCUCAUCGUCACUCCCGGACCCGAGCAGCAGCAAGCGAGAUAGGGGCACCUUACCCUCGAUGCGCAGGCAAGAAGGAACAGUAUUGAUAUUUCCGAGUUACGAAAACAGGGAGUAGGUAGGUGAGUGUCGCGUGUGACGGUGCGGUCGCGUGGCGCGUGGCUGCGCGGGCGCAGAUGAGCGCAUGAGAGGCGCGGGCGGGGUGCGGGCGAGUCAUGUGACUGCGGGACUGGUUGUCGCCUCAGAGCCGCGCCGCACACCGCGCCGCGCCGCGCCCCUGUCGCGUGCCCGCCGCUUGUAAACAUGAGGCGCACAGAGCUCGCCUUUCAGAGCAGAGCAGACGGUCGCUAUCAGUUAGUCUGUCCUCGCUUUAACAACACUUGAACAAUAUCGUUAUUAAUAGAGGAACCCUGAUGCGACAAUAUCAUCCUUGUUUACGAUCCCGUAUUAACUGUAAGCUGUGCUCCUCGAUUCAAAGCAAACAACGCGACGUAAAUGUAGAACUAAUAUGAUUAUAUUUAAUGUAUCUACCUAGGCACAUUGAUUAAAAUAUUUCAUUGGUUCCUAUUUAUAUGUGGUUCAAAUUGCGCGUCUCAAUAUAGUGCUUACAACGGCAGAGCUCAGAAAGUAACACAUACCUAGGGGCGAAUAUUUUGCACGCUAUCUGAUGUUAAUUCCUAUCUCAGCUACUUUGAAUUAAAAUAUACUUCAGAGCAUUGUAAUGCUAGGUUAAGCUUUGUUAAUUAACUAGUGGUGGUAGGUCUCUCAUAUGUGAGAGUCCGCCUGGGUAGGUAACACCGCAACGUCUAUUUCUGCCGCCAAGCAACAGUGUGUAGUCACUGUUGUGUUCCGAUUUGAAGAACAUUGUAACCAGUGUAAAUACUAGACAUAAAAGACUUAACUUCUCCGAUCUCAGGAUGGCGAGCGCAGUGGAAUACCAAAC